RNAcentral lists this ribosomal RNA (406 nucleotides) under uncultured bacterium. RNAcentral describes it as "partial 16S ribosomal RNA". It matches the Rfam family "Bacterial small subunit ribosomal RNA", at positions 30 to 526 of the family's 1533-position model. The record is from RNAcentral.
AUUGAACGCUGGCGGCAGGCUUAACACAUGCAAGUCCAGCGAGCGGCUGACGUGUGAGUAAUGUCUGGGAAACUGCCUGAUGGAGGGGGAUUACUCAUGGAUACGGUAGCUAAUAACGCAUACCAUCAGUUGCACCCCGAUGGGAUUAGCUAGAAGGUGGGGUAAUGGCUCACCUAGGCGACUAGCCCUAGCUGGUCUGAGAGGAUGACCAGCCACACUUGAACUGAGACACGAUCCAGACGCCUACGGGAGGCAGCAGUGGGGAAGAUUGCACAAUGGGCGCAAGCCUGAUGCAGCCAUGCCGGGUGUUUGUAGUAGGGCUUCGGGUUGUAAAGCACUUUCAGCGAGGAGGCGUUACUCGCAGAAGAGGGACCGGCUAACACCGGGCCAGCCGCCGCGGUAAUUC